Molecule: ribosomal RNA, 1244 nt
Filed under: Bamboo witches'-broom phytoplasma
Lineage: Bacteria; Bacillati; Mycoplasmatota; Mollicutes; Acholeplasmatales; Acholeplasmataceae
Description: bacterial SSU rRNA
Rfam family: Bacterial small subunit ribosomal RNA
Source: RNAcentral
ACGACUGCUAAGACUGGAUAGGAGACAAGAAGGCAUCUUCUUGUUUUUAAAAGACCUAGCAAUAGGUAUGCUUAGGGAGGAGCUUGCGUCACAUUAGUUAGUUGGUGGGGUAAAGGCCUACCAAGACUAUGAUGUGUAGCCGGGCUGAGAGGUUGAACGGCCACAUUGGGACUGAGACACGGCCCAAACUCCUACGGGAGGCAGCAGUAGGGAAUUUUCGGCAAUGGAGGAAACUCUGACCGAGCAACGCCGCGUGAACGAUGAAGUAUUUCGGUACGUAAAGUUCUUUUAUUAGGGAAGAAUAAAUGAUGGAAAAAUCAUUCUGACGGUACCUAAUGAAUAAGCCCCGGCUAACUAUGUGCCAGCAGCCGCGGUAAUACAUAGGGGGCAAGCGUUAUCCGGAAUUAUUGGGCGUAAAGGGUGCGUAGGCGGUUAAAUAAGUUUAUGGUCUAAGUGCAAUGCUCAACAUUGUGAUGCUAUAAAAACUGUUUAGCUAGAGUAAGAUAGAGGCAAGUGGAAUUCCAUGUGUAGUGGUAAAAUGCGUAAAUAUAUGGAGGAACACCAGUAGCGAAGGCGGCUUGCUGGGUCUUUACUGACGCUGAGGCACGAAAGCGUGGGGGAGCAAACAGGAUUAGAUACCCUGGUAGUCCACGCCGUAAACGAUGAGUACUAAACGUUGGGUAAAACCAGUGUUGAAGUUAACACAUUAAGUACUCCGCCUGAGUAGUACGUACGCAAGUAUGAAACUUAAAGGAAUUGACGGGACUCCGCACAAGCGGUGGAUCAUGUUGUUUAAUUCGAAGGUACCCGAAAAACCUCACCAGGUCUUGACAUGCUUCUGCAAAGCUGUAGAAACACAGUGGAGGUUAUCAGUUGCACAGGUGGUGCAUGGUUGUCGUCAGCUCGUGUCGUGAGAUGUUGGGUUAAGUCCCGCAACGAGCGCAACCCUUAUUGUUAGUUACCAGCACGUAAUGGUGGGGACUUUAGCAAGACUGCCAGUGAUAAAUUGGAGGAAGGUGGGGGCGACGUCAAAUCAUCAUGCCCCUUAUGACCUGGGCUACAAACGUGAUACAAUGGCUGUUACAAAGGGUAGCUGAAGCGCAAGUUUUUGGCGAAUCUCAAAAAAACAGUCUCAGUUCGGAUUGAAGUCUGCAACUCGACUUCAUGAAGUUGGAAUCGCUAGUAAUCGCGAAUCAGCAUGUCGCGGUGAAUACGUUCUCGGGGUUUGUACACACCGCCCGUCA